UAAGAUGAGAGUUUGAUCCUGGCUCAGGACGAACGCUGGCGGCAUGCCUAAUACAUGCAAGUCGAACGAGCUUCCGUUGAAUGACGUGCUUGCACUGAUUUCAACAAUGAAGCGAGUGGCGAACUGGUGAGUAACACGUGGGAAAUCUGCCCAGAAGCAGGGGAUAACACUUGGAAACAGGUGCUAAUACCGUAUAACAAYAAAAUCCGCAUGGAUUUUGUUUGAAAGGUGGCUUCGGCUAUCACUUCUGGAUGAUCCCGCGGCGUAUUAGUUAGUUGGUGAGGUAAAGGCCCACCAAGACGAUGAUACGUAGCCGACCUGAGAGGGUAAUCGGCCACAUUGGGACUGAGACACGGCCCAAACUCCUACGGGAGGCAGCAGUAGGGAAUCUUCCACAAUGGACGAAAGUCUGAUGGAGCAAUGCCGCGUGAGUGAAGAAGGGUUUCGGCUCGUAAAACUCUGUUGUUAAAGAAGAACACCUUUGAGAGUAACUGUUCAAGGGUUGACGGUAUUUAACCAGAAAGCCACGGCUAACUACGUGCCAGCAGCCGCGGUAAUACGUAGGUGGCAAGCGUUGUCCGGAUU
RNAcentral lists this ribosomal RNA (585 nucleotides) under Levilactobacillus brevis. RNAcentral describes it as "bacterial SSU rRNA". It matches the Rfam family "Bacterial small subunit ribosomal RNA", at positions 1 to 551 of the family's 1533-position model. Lineage: Bacteria; Bacillati; Bacillota; Bacilli; Lactobacillales; Lactobacillaceae. The record is from RNAcentral.